Molecule: long non-coding RNA, 1295 nt
Organism: Ailuropoda melanoleuca (giant panda)
Lineage: Eukaryota; Metazoa; Chordata; Mammalia; Carnivora; Ursidae
Exons: 3
Source: RefSeq, a predicted model, not a curated record
GCAGACUCUCCGCUGAGCAGGGAGCCUGAUGCGGGGCUUGAUCCCAGGACCCUGCGAUCCUGACCUGAGCCAAAGGCAGACGCUUAACCGACUGAGCCCCUCAGACACCCCUGCAUGCUCAGCUUUUAGGCCUCGAUUCAUUUCUUCCUCAGCCUCACUCGUGGGCCCUUUGCUGGGUUCGAAGUCUCGUGACGACAAUUAAGGAAAAGAAAUUAACCUCUUGAAUGAAUAAAGGUAACAUUAGCUCUCUGUAGCAUUCUGGUGGGACGGCCUUGGUGGAACCCCAGAAGUAUCUCUGGGCCCAUGUCCCACAGUUUACUGGAAAAGCAGCUUCCCGUCUCUACAAUCUCACUGCUGUAAGCUGAAAUCUCUUACAGGUUUCUCUACGAUCUCGAAGAACUGGGUCCUUCUGGAGACACAGAACAGUGCAGGUGUUUUUCAGAGACUGGCUUAGGGAAGUGAGUAAAGGAAGACCAUCUGGACACAGUGCCUGAGAUUCCUUGCACUGUUGAAAUGACUUGAACAGAGCACUCACUUUCUUGGCUUUGGUCGGAACCCUGUGUGGCACAAACCCUAUUGUCAGCGCUGCCAAGAGGCCUGUGAGGAGGGACUCAGUGACAAAGGAUCCUCUGAAAAUACUUCACUCUACAUUCGUCAGAAGAAUUUACCAAAGAAGAAGGCGAUGAUGAUUACGAGAACCAGGAGAGCCGGAAGUGAUAGUGGGCCUUUAAAGGAAAUCUGCUCCUGCUAAUAGCACCUCCACACAAUAACAAAAGAAUUGCAACCUUAAAGGCACCUUUGAAGGCUCUGGAUAUAUUUUAAUUGCCUCAAGUUCGCACAAAUCAGGAUGUAAGAAGCAGGUGAUUUAAAAGAGAGGGCUCACAUAAAGAAAAAAACACUCCAAGUCAGAAGUGCCGACUGGCUUCUGUUUUAAAAAAAACUUCUAAUUUUGAAAUAUUAUAGAUUGACAGGAGUUGCAUAACUAUAGUACAAAAUGAAAGGGAGGAAGUGUGCAAUCCACAGACCUCAUUCAGAUUUUACCAACUUUAUAAGCACUCAGUUGUGUGUUUGUCUCUGUGUGUAGCUCCGUGCAAUGCUAUCACAUACUUAGCUUUGUGUAACCACCAGGACACUGAGCUCUCCGUCUCCACGAUGCUCCUUCAGAUUAUCCCUUUAGAGCUAUACCCACUCCCUUCCCCUCCCCCUGUCAAUACUGCGCUGUUCUCCACCUUCAGAAUUAUGUUCUUUUGUGAAUGUCCAUACAAAUGAAAUCAUGUAGUAUAUAAACUUUUGAG